This 795-nucleotide ribosomal RNA is filed under the name uncultured bacterium. Its description in RNAcentral is "bacterial SSU rRNA". It matches the Rfam family "Bacterial small subunit ribosomal RNA", at positions 29 to 820 of the family's 1533-position model. The record is from RNAcentral.
GNAGACGCUGGCGGCGUGCUUACACAUGCAAGUCGAGCGGAGNUAACCCAACGGNAAGUUUUCGGACGGAAGGUGGAAUUACUUAGCGGCGGACGGGUGAGUAACGCGUGGGCAACCUGCCCUGUACAGAGGAAUAACAUUGGGAAACCAGUGCUAAUACCUCAUAUACCCUUCGGGUGGCAUCACCUGAAGGGGAAAGAUUUAUCAGUAUAAGAUGGGCCCGCGUCUAAUUAGCUAGUUGGUAAGGUAACGGCUUACCAAGGCGACGAUUAGUAGCCGACCUGAGAGGGUGAUCGGCCACACUGGAACUGAGACACGGUCCAGACUCCUACGGGAGGCAGCAGUGGGGAAUAUUGCACAAUGGGCGCAAGCCUGAUGCAGCAACGCCGCGUGAGUGAUGAAGGCCUUCGGGUCGUAAAACUCUGUUAUAAGGGAAGAAACCAGUGACGGUACCUUAAGAGAAAGCCCCGGCUAACUACGUGCCAGCAGCCGCGGUAAUACGUAGGGGGCAAGCGUUAUCCGGAAUCACUGGGCGUAAAGGGUGCGUAGGCGGUUUUUUAAGUCAGAGGUGAAAGGCUACGGCUCAACCGUAGUAAGCCUUUGAAACUGGAAGACUUGAGUGCAGGAGAGGAGAGUGGAAUUCCUAGUGUAGCGGUGAAAUGCGUAGAUAUUAGGAGGAACACCCAGUGGCGAAGGCGACUCUCUGGACUGCAACUGACGCUGAUGCACGAAAGCGUGGGGAGCGAACAGGAUUAGAUACCCUGGUAGUCCACGCCGUAAACGAUGAGUGCUAGG